This 464-nucleotide ribosomal RNA is filed under the name uncultured bacterium. RNAcentral describes it as "partial 16S ribosomal RNA". It matches the Rfam family "Bacterial small subunit ribosomal RNA", at positions 28 to 503 of the family's 1533-position model. The record is from RNAcentral.
GACGAACGCUGGCGGCGUGCUUAACACAUGCAAGUCGAACGGAAAGGCCCUGCUUUUGUGGGGUGCUCGAGUGGCGAACGGGUGAGUAACACGUGAGUAACCUGCCCUUGACUUUGGGAUAACUUCAGGAAACUGGGGCUAAUACCGGAUAGGAGCUCCUGCUGCAUGGUGGGGGUUGGAAAGUUUCGGCGGUUGGGGAUGGACUCGCGGCUUAUCAGCUUGGUGGUGGGGUAGUGGCUUACCAAGGCUUUGACGGGUAGCCGGCCUGAGAGGGUGACCGGCCACAUUGGGACUGAGAUACGGCCCAGACUCCUACGGGAGGCAGCAGUGGGGAAUAUUGCACAAUGGGCGGAAGCCUGAUGCAGCAACGCCGCGUGCGGGAUGACGGCCUUCGGGUUGUAAACCGCUUUCGCCUGUGACGAAGCGUGAGUGACGGUAAUGGGUAAAGAAGCACCGGCUAACUA